CCUACGGGAGGCAGCAGUGAGGAAUAUUGGUCAAUGGACGAGAGUCUGAACCAGCCAAGUAGCGUGAAGGAUGACUGCCCUAUGGGUUGUAAACUUCUUUUAUAUGGGAAUAAAAUGUUCCACGUGUGGGAUUUUGUAUGUACCAUAUGAAUAAGGAUCGGCUAACUCCGUGCCAGCAGCCGCGGUAAUACGGAGGAUCCGAGCGUUAUCCGGAUUUAUUGGGUUUAAAGGGAGCGUAGGUGGAUUGUUAAGUCAGUUGUGAAAGUUUGCGGCUCAACCGUAAAAUUGCAGUUGAAACUGACAGACUUGAGUACAGUAGAGGUGGGCGGAAGUCGUGGUGUAGCGGUGAAAUGCUUAGAUAUCACGAAGAACUCCGAUUGCGAAGGCAGCUCACUGGACUGCAACUGACACUGAGGCUCGAAAGUGUGGGUAUCAAACAGGAUUAGAUACCCCUGUAGUC
RNAcentral lists this ribosomal RNA (460 nucleotides) under uncultured bacterium. RNAcentral's name for it is "partial 16S ribosomal RNA". It matches the Rfam family "Bacterial small subunit ribosomal RNA", at positions 338 to 795 of the family's 1533-position model. The record is from RNAcentral.